This is a long non-coding RNA of Pan troglodytes (chimpanzee), 351 nucleotides long. RefSeq lists it as uncharacterized. The transcript has 3 exons. NCBI's taxonomy places the organism in Eukaryota, Metazoa, Chordata, Mammalia, Primates, Hominidae. The record is from RefSeq and is a predicted model, not a curated record.
CGCAACCCUCCUCGAAGGACGCACAAGGGGCGGGGCUUAAGGCCAACGGAAAACAGAGCGAGAGGCGCCUGCGCAUUACCGAAGAGGCAAGAACCAUCCGAGUAAGUCUCAGUGAGAAGCUGUAGUCCAUCUGGCUUACCCCAACGUAACAGGGCAGUCUACCCAUAAACCAGGCCUAGAUUUUUCCCUCCUUUGUGAGGUGGUUGAAGGAAUUUCUGUAUGGCCAGAGGCAUGAGCUAAGAAAAAGGAAUCAGUGCACCAGAGCAGAAAAGGAAGACUAGAGAAAUGCUAGAGAUGUCCUUACUAGUGACACAUUCUUGCUGAAGAACAAGUUCUCUGGAAGUGAAACUC